This 286-nucleotide ribosomal RNA is filed under the name Pseudomonas aeruginosa. RNAcentral describes it as "partial 16S ribosomal RNA". It matches the Rfam family "Bacterial small subunit ribosomal RNA", at positions 379 to 657 of the family's 1533-position model. Lineage: Bacteria; Pseudomonadati; Pseudomonadota; Gammaproteobacteria; Pseudomonadales; Pseudomonadaceae. The record is from RNAcentral.
UAGCCUGAUGCAGCCAUGCCGCGUGUGUGAAGAAGGCCUUCGGGUUGUAAAGCACUUUCAGCGGGGAGGAAGGCGAUAAGGUUAAUAACCUUGUCGAUUGACGUUACCCGCAGAAGAAGCACCGGCUAACUCCGUGCCAGCAGCCGCGGUAAUACGGAGGGUGCAAGCGUUAAUCGGAAUUACUGGGCGUAAAGCGCACGCAGGCGGUCUGUCAAGUCGGAUGUGAAAUCCCCGGGCUCAACCUGGGAACUGCAUUCGAAACUGGCAGGCUAGAGUCUUGUAGAGG